This 379-nucleotide ribosomal RNA is filed under the name uncultured Anaerolineae bacterium. Its description in RNAcentral is "partial 16S ribosomal RNA". It matches the Rfam family "Bacterial small subunit ribosomal RNA", at positions 338 to 733 of the family's 1533-position model. Lineage: Bacteria; Bacillati; Chloroflexota; Anaerolineae. The record is from RNAcentral.
CCUACGGGAGGCAGCAGUAAGGAAUAUUGGGCAAUGGGCGAAAGCCUGACCCAGCAACGCCGCGUGCGCGAUGAAGGUCUUCGGAUCGUAAAGCGCUUUUCUGCGAGAUGAGAAAGGACAGUAUCGUAGGAAUAAGUCUCGGCUAACUACGUGCCAGCAGCCGCGGUAACACGUAGGAGGCAAGCGUUAUCCGGAUUUACUGGGCGUAAAGCGCGUGCAGGCGGUUCGGUAAGUUGGAUGUGAAAGCUCCUGGCUCAACUGGGAGAGGUCGUUCAAUACUCCCGGACUUGAGAGCAGUAGAGGGAGAUGGAAUUCCCGGUGUAGUGGUAAAAUGCGUAGAUAUCGGGAGGAACACCAGUGGCGAAAGCGGUCUCCUGGA